UGCCGGCGAGCGGCGGACGGGUGAGUAACGCGUAGGAAUCUACCUAGUAGAGGGGGACAACAUGUGGAAACGCAUGCUAAUACCGCAUACGCCUUUAGGGGGAAAGCAGGGGAUCUUCGGACCUUUCGCUAUGAGAUGAGCCUGCGUUAGAUUAGCUAGUUGGUAGGGUAAAGGCCUACCAAGGCGACGAUCUAUAGCUGGUCUGAGAGGACGAUCAGCCACACUGGGACUGAGACACGGCCCAGACUCC
This 250-nucleotide ribosomal RNA is filed under the name uncultured bacterium. RNAcentral describes it as "partial 16S ribosomal RNA". It matches the Rfam family "Bacterial small subunit ribosomal RNA", at positions 86 to 339 of the family's 1533-position model. The record is from RNAcentral.